Long non-coding RNA from Felis catus (domestic cat), 1145 nucleotides. RefSeq lists it as uncharacterized. The record is from RefSeq and is a predicted model, not a curated record. Lineage: Eukaryota; Metazoa; Chordata; Mammalia; Carnivora; Felidae. The transcript is spliced from 4 exons.
GAGAAAAACGGCAAAGGGAGAUGGAGGGGGUUGGAAGAGAAAGGGGGAAGGGAGAAAAGGGUGUGCUCAGCUCCAGCAGAAGCUCCUGGAGCUGAAUUUUGGUUUUACAAAAGCGGCGUGAAUGCCCUCAGCCAUGUGAGCUUGGUAGGUAGGUCUUCCUCCCUCGGUAAAGGGCCUGUCUCAGCACCCUCCAGGCACUGCUCUCUCUUUGCUUUGUGGCUCUGCUAAGCAUCACCCUUUGGGGCCCAGCAUCGGGUGGUGAGAAAGCUCUCAGAGGGUUCGGGAGACAAGGGCAAGGAGACCUGCACGGGGCCUGCUCCCGGAAUGGCCCAUACCGGAGAAACUAGGAGGCUCUCUGUUAGACACCAGCCAGAGUUAGGGCCCUAAGUGAAGGCAGCUUUGUCAGGGCACACAUUUCCUAGAUCAGUGGCUUUCACUUCGUUGUGUGCCCCCUGAAAACACAACACACAGUUCACAGUUUACGUGUACAUAGCCCUACCUCGCCCCCAGAUCGUCCAAGUACAUUUUUACAUAGCUUACCAUACUCGAUCAGCACGACAGACUGAUGAUGAAAUUAUCAUCUCCAUUUUACAGAAGAGAUAAUAUGCAAAGAAGUGAGCGGCCCUGUUUGCACAGCUGGGAAGUGACAGAACCAUGCAUGAUUUGAGCCCAGGCUCCCUGACACCAGAUUCAGAGCUCUAUGUGAUAUCACAAGUGUGUGUGUAUCAGACAAAAGUUCCACAAGAGGCGGUCAAGGCCCGAACCCCACCAGCCGCAUGCUCAGUGUGGUUCUUGUGUUCCUGGGCCUCGGACAUUCCCAGCUUAAUCACACACAACCUCCGCAGAACCGGCUUCAACAGUGCGCAGAUCCCGCCUCCAGCCAAGACAGGAAUUUCCAGGAAGAAAGAAUAAAGCCAUGUUGAAGUAGGUGGCCUUGGAAUAUGCGGCAGAGAUGGUGGCUGGAUCUCUAUCAGCACUAUUGGCUCAUGCAACAACUUUGAGGAGGGAAACCAUACCCUUGGGAUGGUGGAGCAGAGCACAGGAGCCCAAGACGCUGAUGACCCUGGAGUCACCAUGCCAGCCCCAGCUUACCUUCCUCUGCACCUCUUUUAUAUAAAAGAGAAAUAAACCUCUAUGUUGCAUAA